RNAcentral lists this unclassified non-coding RNA (1196 nucleotides) under Hevea brasiliensis (rubber tree). Lineage: Eukaryota; Viridiplantae; Streptophyta; Magnoliopsida; Malpighiales; Euphorbiaceae. The record is from RNAcentral.
GGAGAAGGUCUCUCCAUAGCCAUUUCACAUAAUAUCGGGAUUGAGGUGGGAUCGAGAAAAAUUAAUUGGGUGCAGGCACUUUUACCAGCCGUAUUUGUGAAGAAGCCCUAAAAGCAUUAAGAGAGAGCAUAAGAUGCUAUUUGAAGGAAGCUCAAAUUCAUGAUCAAAGUUGUUGUUUUGGUUUGUGGAUAGCCUAAAACCAAUGAGAGACACACAAUGAGAGAGAGCAUUGGGGUAAUUAGAAGAAAGGAAGAAAUAGAGAGGCAUCGGGAUAGGUGGAAGGAAGGGAGAGAUGAGAGAGGCAUGGUGAUUUUAUUUACGGGCAUAAAAGUUAAUUUAUUUAAAAAAUAGUGUCGUAUCAGUUUUAUAACCAGUUUAAAAAAGACUUUUGUACUGAUUAAAUUAAAUAUUAAAAAAUUUUAUAUUACAAAUUAAAAUUUUAAUCCCUUAUUUUACAUAUCUCUAAGUUGAGAUAACAUUUGUAUAAUUUACUCACUUUAGUUAUAACACUUCGAGCCUCAGCCCACAAACAAUACAAAGGCCCAAAGACCUGACACUAAAAGACCCUGGGACUACACGGGUUGAAUCAUCUCUAGCAAUUAGGUUACUAGUUGCCACCGCCAUAGCUAGCAAGGAGAACAUCUAUUAGAUAGGAAAUUGCAAGAAGAUAUGAAAAGCACAUCCUCUAGGAAACUCAACAGAAGCAUAUAUAAAGCUUCCUAGAAAAAGCUUGUAACCCGUAUGGAUGAGAAGUGAUGCAGCAAAACUCAGACAAUCUUGGAAUGGGAACUUUAGCCGAAAAAACCAGAAAGAGGCAUAGCAAGCUCGAGCUUUUCAGUCUCAUGUAACUUAUAAUGGAAGUAAUGACGACGUAACCUUAGAUUUGCCAACCAGCAGUGAGAUCCCCUACAAACAACUUCAGGUGGACAUGGAGAUGCAUAUCUACAUCUAAUCCCUCACCAUAAAGCAUGUAUCUGCUAACCAUAACAAAAAUCACUCUUACCUAUGAACAACCCAACCAACAAGGGAGAGGAAGGACCACCAUCGGUUGGGGGAGACUGAGAGACGAACGACCAAGAGAGAAGGACACUCUCACUCAUCAGAGAGACAAGCUCUCACUCUACUAAACACAUAAUCAAAGAUAUUUGGGGAGAAAUUAAUGGCCAAGAGGUCAAAUCUCCCACUUGGAGUUGAAA